Procambarus clarkii (red swamp crayfish) is the source of this 1007-nucleotide long non-coding RNA. RefSeq lists it as uncharacterized. Lineage: Eukaryota; Metazoa; Arthropoda; Malacostraca; Decapoda; Cambaridae. The record is from RefSeq and is a predicted model, not a curated record.
GUCACCGGCUUCCUGUCCCCAGUGAGGCUACUAGAGAGAGAGUGGCCCUCGGGUAAAUUCAGUGGGAAAGUUGCUGAGUGUACACCUUUGUCAUGGACCGGUGUGGGGGUGACUGGGCCCUCCUGUCAACACCUCGCGACUUGAUACGACCAUGGCUGGAGUCGUGGCAGUACUGGUGGCCCUGGCCCUGGCGUUAGGGGCCUAGGCUGAGAAGGCCCCAGUUGGGUUCGGAGGCGGCUUUGGAGGCGGUGGCUACGGUGGUGGAGGCUUUGGAGGCGGUGGCUACGGUGGUGGAGGCUUUGGAGGCGGUGGCUACGGUGGUGGAGGCUUUGGAGGUGGCGGCUUCGGUGGUGGAGGCUUUGGAGGUGGCGGCUUCGGUGGUGGUGGUGGAUUUGGCGGUGGUGGCGGAGGCUACGGCGGUGGCGGCUGUAUACCACAAGUGCACUACAAGACCCACUACAGGAACCAGCUUAACGAGGUGUGUGUUACAUCAAGUGUUGAUAAAUGAUGAUGCAACACUGAGUAAGAUCACUGGCAGCACCUGAGACACACCUGCUGGAGUCUCCCGUACCUAAGACACACCUGCUGGAGUCUCCCGUACCUAAGACACACCUGCUGGAGUCUCCCGUACCUAAGACACACCUGCUGGAGUCUCCCGUGUUGUGAAGAACGUCGACACGUCUACAGCUGUUGGUCGGUGGCAAACCCUUCGGCCGGCAGGUGUCCAUGCUUGCAGUCUGCAUGUGUGAAGCCUAUGGUAUGUGAAGAGUACGACGACCAGAAAGGCUCUUUCCAGUGGCCACACAUUGCGAAAAGGACGAAGACUCGAGUUGAAUCAUCGCUGUUUCAACGUUGCUGGAACACGUGUUGCCCCGAGGAUAGUGAAGAUACCUGGUUGAUGGGGUUCUGGGAGUUCUUCUACUCCCCCAAGCCCAGCCCGAAGCCAGGCUUGACUUGAGAGCUUGGUCCAGCAGGCUGUUGCUUGGAGCGGCCCGCAGGGCCACAUA